AGUGAACGCUGGCGGUAGGCCUAACACAUGCAAGUCGAACGGCAGCACAGUAAGAGCUUGCUCUUACGGGUGGCGAGUGGCGGACGGGUGAGGAAUACAUCGGAAUCUACUUUUUCGUGGGGGAUAACGUAGGGAAGCUUACGCUAAUACCGCAUACGACCUACGGGUGAAAGCAGGGGAUCUUCGGACCUUGCGCGAUUGAAUGAGCCGAUGUCGGAUUAGCUAGUUGGCGGGGUAAAGGCCCACCAAGGCGACGAUCCGUAGCUGGUCUGAGAGGAUGAUCAGCCACACUGGAACUGAGACACGGUCCAGACUCCUACGGGAGGCAGCAGUGGGGAAUAUUGGACAAUGGGCGCAAGCCUGAUCCAGCCAUACCGCGUGGGUGAAGAAGGCCUUCGGGUUGUAAAGCCCUUUUGUUGGGAAAGAAAAGCAGCAGGUUAAUACCCCGCUGUUCUGACGGUACCCAAAGAAUAAGCACCGGCGAACUUCGU
This 491-nucleotide ribosomal RNA is filed under the name uncultured bacterium. Its description in RNAcentral is "partial 16S ribosomal RNA". It matches the Rfam family "Bacterial small subunit ribosomal RNA", at positions 29 to 506 of the family's 1533-position model. The record is from RNAcentral.